GCAGCAGCAUUCAUGCAAACCUCUGUCUGCUGAGCUGGUGGAUGAUUAUUAAUGAAAAUGGACAUUGCACAAUCCAACUCUGCAGCCACCUUUGCUUUUCGAUAAGCAAAAUGAUGGAGACUGGCCACCACAAAUUGGCUCUUUCUUUCAACUUUCUCCAUCGCCCCAUGUUUCUUUGCCCCCUUUUUUUUACUUUUAAAUUGAACUCUAAACCAGUUCACUGUACCAAGUUACAAACAUGUGAUGAUUUGGACAUGAAAAGGGAAAUUCAUGAGAACCAUAAGGAACUUUGCAAGGUAAGUCAUGUAUACAGUAAGAGUUUGCCUUUUAAACUCUGUUUUUGAGGGUGUUUGGGGAAAAGAAGAAAUGACUGCUAGAAAUAUCUGAUUUUUUUAUGCUUAAUGAUCUUUUACUAUGAACAAAUAAAGAUUUCUAGCUGUGUGUGGCAUCUGUGUUUGAAAAGGAUCAGACACUGAGAAAGUUUUAUACAAUGAGUCUUCUUUGAUUCU
This is a non-coding RNA of Lonchura striata (white-rumped munia), 509 nucleotides long. The record is from RefSeq and is a predicted model, not a curated record. NCBI's taxonomy places the organism in Eukaryota, Metazoa, Chordata, Aves, Passeriformes, Estrildidae.